AACGAACGCUGGCGGCGUGCCUAACACAUGCAAGUCGAACGAGAAGCUAACCUUCGAUUCCUUCGGGAUGAUCAGGUUGGCAGAAAGUGGCGAACGGGUGAGUAACGCGUGGGUAAUCUACCCUAAAGUGGGGGAUAACCCUCCGAAAGGAGGGCUAAUACCGCAUAAUAUCUUCUCCUCUAAAGAGGUAAAGAUUAAAGGUGGCCUCUAUUUAUAAGCUAUCACUUUAGGAUGAGCCCGCGUCCUAUUAGUUAGUUGGUGGGGUAAUGGCCUACCAAGACCACAAUGGGUAGCCGGUCUGAGAGGAUGUACGGCCACACUGGGACUGAGAUACGGCCCAGACUCCUACGGGAGGCAGCAGUGGGGAAUAUUGCGCAAUGGGGGAAACCCUGACGCAGCGACGCCGCGUGGACGAUGAAGGCCUUCGGGUUGUAAAGUCCUGUUCUGGGGGAAGAAACCUUAAGGGUCCAAUAAACCCUUAAGCUGACGGUACCCC
Molecule: ribosomal RNA, 496 nt
Filed under: uncultured bacterium
Lineage: Bacteria
Description: bacterial SSU rRNA
Rfam family: Bacterial small subunit ribosomal RNA
Source: RNAcentral